RNAcentral lists this long non-coding RNA (590 nucleotides) under Vombatus ursinus (common wombat). Its description in RNAcentral is "lncRNA (ENSVURG00010017443.1)". Lineage: Eukaryota; Metazoa; Chordata; Mammalia; Diprotodontia; Vombatidae. The record is from RNAcentral.
UGAUGGUGGACCUAAGGCCUCCACAAGUAGCAAUGGGAGGAAAUCGAAGCUGUGACUUGGUCCCUAAGGGAGAAGGAAAGCCACAGCAAACUCUAAAUAAACAGCUUCCACAGCCCGAGAUUUCUCCCAGACCCCCUGAUGAAAGGAGCCGGGUUGGAACAGAGGCUGGGAGGAGCCCAGUUAAUAUAUGACAGUCAUUAUCAGAGGGAUUUUGGUGCUGCUGGAAAGCUAUAGCGGACAACACUCAGAAAAUGGACAGAAGGAAAAAUUAGUAGCCUGAAGUGGGCCUAGCUCUUCCUCUUCUCUGUUGGUGCAUCCAUACAUUCCUGGUGACAUCUUCUCCUAUGGAAACACCUUCAGUCAUAGUCUAGAACAGGGGUUCUUAACCCGGGGUCCAAGACCUCCUUAAGGGGCCCACGGGUGGGCUUCAGGGGAGUCUAUGAACUUGGAUGGGAAAAAAUACAUCUUUAUUUCAAAAUAAUAGGUUUCCUCCAUAAUCCUAUCUAUUUUAUUUUAUUGGGGGGGGGGCAGGCAGCAGGCUGGCAACAAGCAUUUAUUUUGUUAAAUAAUAAAAACUAUUGAUUUUUACA